Long non-coding RNA from Cyprinus carpio (common carp), 591 nucleotides. The record is from Ensembl. Lineage: Eukaryota; Metazoa; Chordata; Actinopteri; Cypriniformes; Cyprinidae.
UCGGCGCAGUAAUAUUAAAACUUCUGAAACUCCCCCUCUCCCUCUCCCUGUCCCUGUCCGCCUGCGCUAUUGGUAGUAGUUUGGGGGAGUUCUCAGGAGUGAUGACAUUACUGCGCAGAGGUCGAAGUGCUGCGAGGUGCUCUUCUGCCAUACAUUAUAGUUAUCAUUUUUUAUCCGCUGAGAAAAUCGCCACAUUUUAUUUUGUGCCAUCAUACUUACUCGUUUAACUACUCAUGUAACCGUCUUUAAAUAGGGGAAACAUGGAAGUGUUUGGUGGCUUCUAAAUUCAUCCCUUUUUGGAUCCUAAGGAAUGAAUGGUGCUAAGCUAAACGCUAACAUGGUGGCGCUGUGCGCUACAGCGAUUAAGUGCACGCACUGAGACGGGAGAGUCGGUUAUCCACAAAAAUGACCGAGAACAACCAAGAAGAGCAGCGGGAGCGAUUCAAAGGUGGUGUCAGCAGGAAACGAAAGCUUUCUGAUCCUGAAUGCUCAGUUUCAUGUAAAAGUGAGUUUACCUUGUUGUUACUUGUAGACAGUCCUACUUGGAAAAUAUUGUGGAAAAAGUCCCAUGUUGACAGUACUGAUAGUGGG